RNAcentral lists this ribosomal RNA (445 nucleotides) under Zygogramma piceicollis. RNAcentral's name for it is "partial 28S ribosomal RNA". The record is from RNAcentral. Lineage: Eukaryota; Metazoa; Arthropoda; Insecta; Coleoptera; Chrysomelidae.
GGGUAAACCUGAGAAACCCGAAAGGUCGAAAGGGGAAAUUCAUUCGCGUUUCGGUCGUCGGCUAUCGACGGGCUAGUGACGGUCGGCGUUCGCGUCGUCUGCGCAGUCUGUCGAUUGAACCGAUAUCGAACGCGUGCACUUUUCCCCUAGUAGGACGUUGCGAUCCGUUGGGUGUCGGUCUAAGGCUCGAGGUGGAGCCCACGCGAACGUUUCGGCGUCUUCGCGUGGACCCUCGAUGUCCCGGCCGACUCGCUCGACGGUAUAAUGAUGGCGCGGGGCCGCUACAUAGUUAGCGUUCGGCUCGUGGCAAGCGCGAACGGCGUUUGACGGCGAUCGGACCUAGCGCCGAUCCUGUCCCCGUUCGACUGUUGGCUGCGAUGUUCUCGAACAGACCUCGUCGAAACGCCGAUCUGCAACGCUAUAGCUUUGGGUACUUUCAGGACCC